Molecule: ribosomal RNA, 590 nt
Filed under: uncultured bacterium
Lineage: Bacteria
Description: bacterial SSU rRNA
Rfam family: Bacterial small subunit ribosomal RNA
Source: RNAcentral
UUGAUCAUGGCUCAGAUUGAACGCUGGCGGCAGGCUUAACACAUGCAAGUCGAGCGGAGCGAGGGUGCUUGCACCUUAGCUUAGCGGCGGACGGGUGAGUAAUGCUUAGGUAUCUGCCUAUUAGUGGGGGACAACAUUCCGAAAGGAAUGCUAAUACCGCAUACGCCCUACGGGAGAAAGCAGGGGAUCUUCGGACCUUGCGCUAAUAGAUGAGCCUAAGUCGGAUUAGCUAGUUGGUGGGGUAAAGGCCUACCAAGGCGACGAUCUGUAGCGGGUCUGAGAGGAUGAUCCGCCACACUGGGACUGAGACACGGCCCAGACUCCUACGGGAGGCAGCAGUGGGGAAUAUUGGACAAUGGGGGGAACCCUGAUCCAGCCAUGCCGCGUGUGUGAAGAAGGCCUUAUGGUUGUAAAGCACUUUAAGCGAGGAGGAGGGUACUGGUAUUAAUACUACCAGGUACUGGACGUUACUCGCAGAAUAAGCACCGGCUAACUCUGUGCCAGCAGCCGCGGUAAUACAGAGGGUGCGAGCGUUAAUCGGAUUUACUGGGCGCAAAGCGUGCGUAGGCGGCUUAUUGAGUCGAAUGUGA